Molecule: ribosomal RNA, 253 nt
Filed under: uncultured bacterium
Lineage: Bacteria
Description: partial 16S ribosomal RNA
Rfam family: Bacterial small subunit ribosomal RNA
Source: RNAcentral
UACGAAGGGGGCGAGCGUUGUUCGGAAUUACUGGGCGUAAAGGGCACGUAGGCGGCCGAUCAAGUCAGAUGUGAAAGUCCUGGGCUUAACCUGGGGACUGCAUUUGAUACUGAUUGGCUUGAAUGCAGGAGAGGAUAGCGGAAUUCCCAGUGUAGAGGUGAAAUUCGUAGAUAUUCGCAAGAACGCCAGUGGCGAAGGCGGCUCACUGGCCCGAUACUGACGCUGAGGUGCGAAAGCGUGGGGAGCAAACAGG